This 263-nucleotide ribosomal RNA is filed under the name uncultured bacterium. RNAcentral describes it as "partial 16S ribosomal RNA". It matches the Rfam family "Bacterial small subunit ribosomal RNA", at positions 1227 to 1500 of the family's 1533-position model. The record is from RNAcentral.
ACAAUGGCCGGUACAAAGAGAAGCGAGGCUGUGAAGCGGAGCAAAUCUCAAAAACCGGUCCCAGUUCGGAUUGUAGGCUGCAACUCGCCUACAUGAAGUCGGAGUUGCUAGUAAUCGCGGAUCAGAAUGCCGCGGUGAAUGCGUUCCCGGGUCUUGUACACACCGCCCGUCACACCAUGGAAGUUGGGGGCGCCCGAAGUUGCCUAAGAAAUAAGGUACCUAAGGCGAAACCAAUGACUGGGGUGAAGUCGUAACAAGGUACC